AGACCUGACAUGUGUCCCAAGCUGUUUCUGCAGGAAGCAGACCCCCAUCUGAUGAAAACUGCUAAGGACAAGCCCGUGGACCCCAGCCUUGUUGAAAUCAGAUGGUUGAUGAUGCUUGAAACUUCACCUCAAUGCCAACCAGUCAGACAGCUGAGCACAAGAUUGAGAGCAUGCCAUUCUUGAGGAACUGGGAGAGUCUGGCUGAAAGACACUUCUAGACCCACUGGCUUCCUUAAGGACCUCGAGAUGUUUGUACCCUCUCAGACCGCCACAUGGACCCCCAGGGCUCCUGGAGGACCAUUCUCAGGAGAGGAUCUUGGAGUUAGAGUGGGAGGAAAGAGGGAUCCUAUGACCCUACUGUCCUGUUAUUCUUGAGUCUGCUCUUUGGAACCGGGGAACGCCUAGAAGAUGAAAGCCUUCCUCCCACAGAUAAGAGAAAGUGUGGUGGUGUUUUCACCACAUCCGUUCAACGCCUCCUCCCCUCUGGUGGCUUAGCAGUAAAGAAUCCGCCUGCCAAUGCAAGAGACACAAGAGAUGCGGGCUCGAUCCCUGGGCCGGGAAGAUCCCCCGGAGAAGGAGAUGGAAACCCACUCCAGUAAUCUUGCCUGAGAGAUCCCAUGGACAGAGAGCCUGGCAGUCCACGGGGGGAUAAAGAGUCGGACACGACUGAGCGACUAACACACAGCUCUGCUUUGGGAAUGCAACAUGGGUCUGUCCUCCCGUUGUGUGGUUUUCAAGGGCUGAUGGCUGUUUUCCUGCAGACCUGGGCCCUGCCCGCCUGGUCACUUCCCGUGUGACUGAGCCGCCCCACCCGGGGCCUCUCUCUGGGACAGCCUGAAGCGUGGGGCUGGUGGGAGCCUCACCAGGGAUGCGAUCCUGCCUGGCAGCUGCUGACCUGCGCUUCCGCAGCCCCGAAGGCAAGGGCCCAGCUUUCCGAGAACCCGCAGCAGGAGGGAAAAGCCAGUCCUCUCUUCCGCGGAGUGCCCGUGCCCCUCCUGUGCCAGGAGCAGUACGAAGCUAAGGCCCCUCAUUCUCCCUGGCUCCAAGCUUUCUCUUUCCUUCCUCUCUAGGGAGGGCACCACAGUGGAUUUGCUUGUGUGUGUAUCACCAGCUCUAAGACUGAGCUCUGCAUAAAGAACUGCAUGUCUGGCAGGACGACGGCACAACUGGGUCACCUGGAGAGCCUUAAAAACAUAGCGAUGCCUGGGCCAAACCCAGACAGAUGGGCCUGGAAUCGCAGAGGGCGAAUCGGGCCUCGGAGAUUCUAACAGCUCCUCUGGUGCUUCUGGUUUGCAGCCAAGGUUGAGAUCCUCUUAGCUCCACAUCUGAAACUAGAGACCCAGCCUUUCGUUGACAAGAACUAAUUUAGAAAAAGUUCAGU
Long non-coding RNA from Dama dama (fallow deer), 1381 nucleotides. RefSeq lists it as uncharacterized. The transcript has 4 exons. Lineage: Eukaryota; Metazoa; Chordata; Mammalia; Artiodactyla; Cervidae. The record is from RefSeq and is a predicted model, not a curated record.